GAGGGUAUAGCUCAGUGGUGGACUGUGUGCUUAGCAUGCACGAGGUCCUGGGUUCAAUCCCCAUUACCUCCA
Molecule: transfer RNA, 72 nt
Filed under: Camelus bactrianus (Bactrian camel)
Lineage: Eukaryota; Metazoa; Chordata; Mammalia; Artiodactyla; Camelidae
Also listed under: 2 other names
Rfam family: tRNA
About the family: Transfer RNA (tRNA) molecules are approximately 80 nucleotides in length. Their secondary structure includes four short double-helical elements and three loops (D, anti-codon, and T loops).
Source: Rfam by way of RNAcentral